GACGAACGCUGGCGGCGUGCCUAAUACAUGCAAGUAGAACGCUGAAGAGAGGAGCUUGCUCUUCUUGGAUGAGUUGCGAACGGGUGAGUAACGCGUAGGUAACCUGCCUGGUAGCGGGGGAUAACUAUUGGAAACGAUAGCUAAUACCGCAUAAAAUUGAUUAUUGCAUGAUAAUUAAUUGAAAGAUGCAACUGCAUCACUACCAGAUGGACCUGCGUUGUAUUAGCUAGUUGGUGAGGUAACGGCUCACCAAGGCGACGAUACAUAGCCGACCUGAGAGGGUGAUCGGCCACACUGGGACUGAGACACGGCCCAGACUCCUACGGGAGGCAGCAGUAGGGAAUCUUCGGCAAUGGGGGGAACCCUGACCGAGCAACGCCGCGUGAGUGAAGAAGGUUUUCGGAUCGUAAAGCUCUGUUGUAAGAGAAGAACGGGUGUGAGAGUGGAAAGUUCACACUG
This 459-nucleotide ribosomal RNA is filed under the name Streptococcus sanguinis. RNAcentral's name for it is "bacterial SSU rRNA". It matches the Rfam family "Bacterial small subunit ribosomal RNA", at positions 28 to 471 of the family's 1533-position model. The record is from RNAcentral. Lineage: Bacteria; Bacillati; Bacillota; Bacilli; Lactobacillales; Streptococcaceae.